RNAcentral lists this ribosomal RNA (497 nucleotides) under uncultured bacterium. Its description in RNAcentral is "partial 16S ribosomal RNA". It matches the Rfam family "Bacterial small subunit ribosomal RNA", at positions 28 to 507 of the family's 1533-position model. The record is from RNAcentral.
GAUGAACGCUGGCGGCGUGCCUAAUACAUGCAAGUCGAGCGAACAGACGAGGAGCUUGCUCCUCUGACGUUAGCGGUGGACGGGUGAGUAACACGUGGAUAACCUACCUAUAAGACUGGGAUAACUUCGGGAAACCGGAGCUAAUACCGGAGAAUAUAUUGAACCGCAUGGUUCAAUAGUGAAAGACGGUUUUGCUGUCACUUAUAGAUGGAUCCGCGCCGCAUUAGCUAAUUGGUAAGGUAACGGCUUACCAAGGCAACGAUGCGUAGCCGACCUGAGAGGGUGAUCGGCCGCCCUGGAAGUGGGACACGGUCAAGACUCCUACGGGAGGCAGCAGUAGGGAAUCUUCCGCAGUGGGCGAAAGCCUGACGGAGCAACGCCGCGUGAGUGGUGAAGGUCUUCGGAUCGUAAAACUCGGUUAUUAGGGAAGAACAAAUGUGUAAGUAACUAUGCACGUAGUGACGGUACCUAAUCAGAAAGCCACGGCUAACUACGUG